CCUACGGGAGGCAGCAGUAAGGAAUAUUGGUCAAUGGAGGCAACUCUGAACCAGCCAUGCCGCGUGCAGGAUGACGGCCCUAUGGGUUGUAAACUGCUUUUGUACCAGAGAAAACCUACUCACGUGUGAGUAGCUGAUAGUAUGGUAAGAAUAAGCAUCGGCUAACUUCGUGCCAGCAGCCGCGGUAAGACGAAGGAUGCAAGCGUUAUCCGGAUUCAUUGGGUUUAAAGGGUGCGUAGGCGGACUUGUAAGUCAGUGGUGAAAUCUCUUCGCUUAACGAAGAAACUGCCAUUGAUACUGCAGGUCUAGAGUAUAGAUGACGUUGGCGGAAUAUGACAUGUAGUGGUGAAAUACUUAGAUAUGUCAUAGAACACCGAUUGCGAAGGCAGCUAACGAAACUAUAACUGACGCUGAGGCACGAAAGUGCGGGGGAUCAAACAGGAUUAGAUANCCCUGGUAGUCCGCACCGUAAACGAUGAUUACUCGUUGUUGGCGAUAUGACAGUCAGCGACCAAGCGAAAGACGAUAAGUAAUCCGACCGUGGGAGUACGCCGGCGAACGGUGAAACGUACGAAAGGAAGUUAGACGG
Molecule: ribosomal RNA, 589 nt
Filed under: uncultured bacterium
Lineage: Bacteria
Description: bacterial SSU rRNA
Rfam family: Bacterial small subunit ribosomal RNA
Source: RNAcentral